UACGGGAGGCACAGUAGGGAAUAUUGGAGCAAUGGACGCAAGUCUGACCCAGCCAUGCCGCGUGCAGGAUGAAGGCGUUAUGCGUUGUAAACUGCUUUUAUACAGGAAGAAACGACUCCUUGCGAGAGCGCAUCUGACGGUCUGUAUGAAUAGCCCGGCUAACUCCGUGCCAGCAGCCGCGGUAAUAA
RNAcentral lists this ribosomal RNA (188 nucleotides) under uncultured Bacteroidota bacterium. Its description in RNAcentral is "uncultured Bacteroidetes bacterium partial 16S ribosomal RNA". It matches the Rfam family "Bacterial small subunit ribosomal RNA", at positions 340 to 526 of the family's 1533-position model. Lineage: Bacteria; Pseudomonadati; Bacteroidota. The record is from RNAcentral.